RNAcentral lists this ribosomal RNA (253 nucleotides) under uncultured bacterium. RNAcentral describes it as "partial 16S ribosomal RNA". It matches the Rfam family "Bacterial small subunit ribosomal RNA", at positions 524 to 776 of the family's 1533-position model. The record is from RNAcentral.
UACGUAGGGUGCAAGCGUUAUCCGGAAUUAUUGGGCGUAAAGAGCCCGUAGGCGGUUUGUCGCGUCUGCUGUGAAAACCCGAGGCUCAACCUCGGGCCUGCAGUGGGUACGGGCAGACUAGAGUGCGGUAGGGGAGAUUGGAAUUCCUGGUGUAGCGGUGAAAUGCGCAGAUAUCAGGAGGAACACCCGUAGCGAAGGCGGCACUCUGGGCCGAUACUGACACUGAGGAGCGAAAGCGUGGGGAGCGAACAGG